AUUUAUAUAGUAUACAAGUAUAUGUGACUUCCAAUCACAAGGGCUAAAUAUAAUUUUAGUAUAAAUA
This 67-nucleotide transfer RNA is filed under the name Pagastia sp. 2XL. RNAcentral's name for it is "tRNA-Gly". Lineage: Eukaryota; Metazoa; Arthropoda; Insecta; Diptera; Chironomidae. The record is from RNAcentral.